AGUCUAACCUGCCCACUGAUUUUUUUUAAAUGGCCGCAGUAUUUUAACUGUGCAAAGGUAGCAUAAUCAUUAGUCUUUUAAUUGAAGGCUGGAAUGAAUGGUUGAAUGARAUAUUAACUGUUUCAAUUAAAUUUAAAAUAAAAUUUUAUUUUUUAGUGAAAAAGCUAAAAUAAAAUUAAAAGACGAGAAGACCCUAUAAAUCUUUAUAUUUUAURAAUUUUAAUUAUUUAGAUAAAUUUAAUUAUUAUUAUUUAAAAUAUUUUAUUGGGGUGAUAUUAAAAUUUAUAAAACUUUUAAUUUAUUAUUAACAUUAAUUAAUGAAUUAUUGAUCCAUAAAUUAUGAUUAUAAAAAUAAGUUACUUUAGGGAUAACAGCGUAAUUUUUUUAGAGAGUUCUUAUUGAUAAAAA
RNAcentral lists this ribosomal RNA (408 nucleotides) under Megaselia frameata. RNAcentral's name for it is "partial 16S ribosomal RNA". The record is from RNAcentral. Lineage: Eukaryota; Metazoa; Arthropoda; Insecta; Diptera; Phoridae.